AUACGUAGGGUGCGAACGUUAUCCGGAUUUAUUGGGCGUAAAGAGAUGCGUAGGCGUUUCUGUAAGUCUUGAGUUAAAGCCCACGGCUCAACCGUGGAAAAGCUUAGGAUACUGCAGAAAUUGAGACAGGAAGAGGCGAACAGAAUUCCCAGUGGAGUGGUGAAAUACGUUGAUAUUGGGAAGAAUAUCAGUGGCGAAGGCGGUUCGCUGGUCCUUGUCUGACGCUGAGGCUCGAAAGCGUGGGUAGCAAAACGGAUUAGAUACCCGUGUAGUCCACGCCGUAAACGAUGGAUGCUAGGUGUUCGGUACAACUGUUUUUUCCUUCGGGAAAAGAUGGAAGUAUUGAGUGCCACAGCUAACGCGUUAAGCAUCCCGCCUGGGAAGUACGGCCGCAAGGCUAAAACUCAAAUGAAUUGGCGGGGACCCGCACAAGCGGAGGAGCGCGUGGUUUAAUUCGACGGCAAUCGAAGAACCUUACCAGGGUUUGAAAUGUAUCUGCAUGCCCCCAGAAAAGGGGGAGGCCUUAGAGGGUGAUACACAGGUGCUGCAUGGCCGCCGUCAGCUCGUGUCGUGAGAUGUAGGGUUAAGUCCCGAAACGAGCGCAACCCCUAUCCUAUGUUACAAGUGUCUUAGGAAACUGCCUCGGUAAAACGAGGAGGAAGGUGGGGAUGACGUCUGGUCCGCAUAGCCCUUAUGUCCUGGGCUACACACGCGCUACAAUGGCCGAUACAGCAGGAAGCCAAAUCGUAAGAUGGAGCUAAUCCUCAAAAUCGGUCUCAGUUCGGAUUGAGGUCUGAAACUCGACCUCAUGAAGUUGGAUUCGCUAGUAAUCGUAGAUCAGCAAUGCUACGGUGAAUACGUUCUCGGGUCUUGCACACACCGCCCGUCAGGCCAUGGAAGUAGGUGAUACUCGAAGGCGUCCCGCUAUUUAUAGUGGGAUGACGAAGGUAACGCUUAUAACUGGGGUU
This 968-nucleotide ribosomal RNA is filed under the name uncultured bacterium LL-02. RNAcentral describes it as "bacterial SSU rRNA". It matches the Rfam family "Bacterial small subunit ribosomal RNA", at positions 523 to 1482 of the family's 1533-position model. The record is from RNAcentral.